Long non-coding RNA from Oryza brachyantha (malo sina), 967 nucleotides. RefSeq lists it as uncharacterized. The record is from RefSeq and is a predicted model, not a curated record. The transcript is spliced from 4 exons. NCBI's taxonomy places the organism in Eukaryota, Viridiplantae, Streptophyta, Magnoliopsida, Poales, Poaceae.
UCUUUCCUCUCCCACCUAACCCAAUCCAAUCAAGCACAACACCCAACCAUUCCUUCAGAUUUCAAGAACACAAGAACAGCUAAGAAACACCACCAAACCAAAACACCACAAACCACCCAAGAUCAAAUCAAAAUGCUAACAGCUAACAUGAAAUGAAAUGGACCGGCAUGAUCAGAGAGAGAGAGAGACCACUCACCUCUCACCUCUCCUUCUCAGGAGGUGGGCUAUCCGAUGAACCAGCGCGAGACGACGGCCAUAUAUAGGGGAAGGAGGCGAGCGGUGGCGGUGGACCGGCUGAUGACUCUGCUCAGCUCGCAAGAAAAAAAAAAGGUAAGUGUUUGUUUAUCGCGACAGGCAUGUCACUCGGCGAAAUUCAGCAUCGGCACAGUCCAGGCCGGCGCUAGCCUGUCCAUGGCCGAUCAGAGCGUGUAUCAAACCACGCGACGCGACGCUGUUUGGGUUACUGCUUGCAAAUUCUCUGAAAAUUUCAUGGCGCGUCAGGCGUAUGGUCUGUCUAGAAAAAUGAGAGAAAUAUAGAAUGAAGUGAAAGUGAAAUGGCAAUGCCGAUGGAUUUUACACGUACAAGUUGACAGCAACGAGGAAAAUGACCAUCACAAGCUGUCUGAAUCAGCAUAUAGUGCGUGCAUGGCUAUUCGCUAGGAAGGAUUAUGCUGAAAGUCAAUUGCAGCGACAAGGAGAGACGAUGGCAGCGACAGGUGACACGUCUUGUGGACGCAUUCAAGCUACAACUUGGUGCAUCGUCCGAAGAUGACAUGUUUACUUGAUGCAGUCAGUAAUAUGGAUUGGUGAAUUCUUUUUACUUCUAUAUGGUUAUUAGGAUUCACUUGGUUUUUGCUUUCUGCAUUGUCCAAAGAUGACAUGUUUACUUGGUAAGCAGUCUAAUUCAGCGGUAAUUAAAGUUGAGAAUAAAGUACUAUGAUUCCUUUUAAUAAAUGAGGUAUUAAUG